AUACGUAGGUGACAAGCGUUAUCCGGAUUUACUGGGCGUAAAGGGCGUGUAGGCGGUCUUGCAAGUCAGAAGUGAAAUUCCUGAGCUCAACUCGGGCGCUGCUUCUGAAACUGCAGGACUUGAGUGCUGGAGGGGAUAGCGGAAUUCCUAGUGGAGCGGUAAAAUGCGCAGAUAUUAGGAAGAACACCGGUGGCGAAGGCGGCUAUCUGGACAGUAACUGACGCUGAGGCGCGAAAGCGUGGGGAGCAAACAGGAUUAGAUACCCUGGUAGUCCCCGCCGUAAACGAUGAAUACUAGGUGUAGGGGGUAUCGACUCCCUCUGUGCCGCAGUUAACACAAUAAGUAUUCCGCCUGGGGAGUACGGCCGCAAGGUUGAAACUAAAAUGAAUUGACGGGG
Molecule: ribosomal RNA, 397 nt
Filed under: uncultured bacterium
Lineage: Bacteria
Description: partial 16S ribosomal RNA
Rfam family: Bacterial small subunit ribosomal RNA
Source: RNAcentral